GCCAGAGCGAGCUGCGGCCUCGGACCAUUGCCCGGCCUCUGGCCUCUGCCCGUGCGCUGCGGGCACGGAAGCAGGUUGCACGGGG
This 85-nucleotide small nucleolar RNA is filed under the name Myotis lucifugus (little brown bat). Its description in RNAcentral is "Small nucleolar RNA SNORA42/SNORA80 family (ENSMLUG00000022681.1)". Lineage: Eukaryota; Metazoa; Chordata; Mammalia; Chiroptera; Vespertilionidae. The record is from RNAcentral.